Molecule: long non-coding RNA, 2100 nt
Organism: Jatropha curcas
Lineage: Eukaryota; Viridiplantae; Streptophyta; Magnoliopsida; Malpighiales; Euphorbiaceae
Source: RefSeq, a predicted model, not a curated record
ACAGGUUGCGGGUUUGCAAACGAGAGAAAUGUGGUAGCUGUGAAGAGGAUUUGAUUUUGGCAGAAGUAAAUUGACCCAUGUGUGUCCCUUGCGCUUACCAAUUAUGUAUUUCUCAGUUUGUACAAACAUGGCGGUAACUACAGCCAUAAUAGAAGGUAACCUAAGAGAAGCCAGCGCAUAAGAUCGCUCCUCGGAACAAUAAACGACCGCCAACACGUUUGCGACUGCCUCAAAUCUGUUGCCGACAUCACUGAAAGACAAGAUCAAUUAACUGCAAAGGAUAUAUGAUAUCGGGUUUUCGCCGGACGAAAAAACUUUUCUCCUCUUCUAUACCAACAAGUCCGACCUACUAAUUAAUGAAAUAGGAAAAUGAAACGCCGCCACCUCUGCAGCGCGAUUUCAAAACCGAACAAGGAUGGGAAAAUUCAGCCAGCGGGAAAUUGAUGUGGCGAAGAAUGACAGAAAUUUAGGUGGGUUGCCGCAGUUUAACGACGGGCAAAACACUGCGUUAUCCACGUGGAUUUGAUGAUGUGUCAUACCAAUACUUGACGGAAGUUCGUACACAUGGCAUUUUACGAUGACGUGGCUAUACUGCUGACUUGAUACUUGCCAUGUGUCCUUCAGUUGACGUCAUCAGCCAAAUUCUGUUAGUGUCAUGUUGUCAAUUUAAAUGAUGCUGCUCGCGUCCACGUGGCAAUCUGUGAUGACGUGUCGGUCAUUGGCCCAUGUGCAUACAGGUAGACACAAGGCUAGUCCAGCUGAUGUGGCAGUAAGAUCCAAUGUGGCUACGUGGCAAUACACGUUGACGUGUAAACUUUUCUACCUGUAUACGUGGCUCGACUCCUGACAUCGGCAGUGCUGCGUGUUGCGCUCUUGUACAUGUCUGUUGCCACGUUUCAUGCGAGUACACAUGGAAAUUUUUUAUUGUGUGGCUCAAGCCACGUGGUCAUUUACCAUUCCAUGUCGUGACACUUGGAUGUGUGCUUAUGUGGCACUACUCUACGUGGAUCGCGGUGCGUUGAUGCGGAUGACGUGUCUCCUUCUUUAGAUUACGUAGAUUACAGACGGCUACGACAGACAAACGUGGCACUUAUUUGUUGGCUACAGGAGAACCAGGUCAAACAACUCUAUCGUUCUUUACUCUCCCAAUUGGCGUUUCUUCUUCGUUCUUUUCCAGUUUUCCUGUAAGGAAAAUUGGAACUCCAUAAUGCAGAUGAGAAUUCCGUAUUCUUGCUGAGCGGCUCUGUCUCUCAUUCUGGGUCUAAUAGAAUUCUGAUUAUUUGGAAAUAUGCGAUCUUUAUAUAUUCUGAGUUUUUCUUAUCAAAAUUCUAUUCAAUUAGUUUCCUGCCUUUCCAACUGGCGAUAUUAUUUGAUGUAUAUGAUUCUGUUUCCAGGUACAACUUGUAAUAUAGGCUUCAUUAGAGUAUGUCCAGUUUAUAUGAGCUUGGCAUCACGGUAUCUUGCUCUGGGCUUGACGGUGACGCUGGAAAGAAUGUCCUGGAUGACUUUGUAGUUCUUUACCACAGCCGAGUUGACAAUGUCACUGAAUGCUUCUAAAUGUAACUCAAAUGGGACUGCAGAAAAUAAUGAAGGGCUUAUGGACACUAACAUCUCAUUUUUCAUGGAGUCAAAAUUGAGAAAUCCAACAGCAUAGUUUAUCAGUCUGUCUUUUUAAUUUCAUGCAACACUUUGAUGCACCAGCGGAGCUGAUAUAAUACCUCUUCACAUGGAAUCAUUGGAAAGGGCCAGGCUUGGUUCAAUUGCCCCUAUGCUAUGGUUGCUCCAGAAGAUGGACGCCAAAGAAAUUGCAAGUAUUUACUAUCAAUUGUGACAAAGAAGCAUACUCAAACCUAGUAAUUGGCUCUUCCUUUCAGUUUCAGUAUUGGCAGCAAAAGAUGGCAGUUUAUGAUCCUAAAAUCAGCAGCUCCUGCCCAUAUUUUUGAGUGACUUAAUGAGAAUGUAUUUCAUGUUGGGACUUGGAAGCGUGGAGGCUUUGUAUGUUCAAGUAUAACAUAUUUCUGUGACAUUUGUAUUUUUUUCCAUUGGGUUUUCUUCUUACCCUUAAGAUUUAAAUGGUAAAUUCCUCUUUUUUUUCUUUUA